UAUAGGAGAAGAUGUAAGAUUCGAGCUCCUUGCUGCAGUGAGAUCUUUGAUUGCCGUCAUUGUCACAACGAGGCUGCGCAUGCUGAAAAAUCCCUAUGAUCGACACGGAAUUGUUCAUCAGGAUGUUAAACAAGUUGGUUGUUCUGUCUGUGAUACAGAACAACCGGUACGUAUGUGUUCCUUGAUUUUGGACAUGAGGCUUUCAUUUUUGCUGGCAUAUCUGAAUUGCUUGGAAGCAUAUGGGGGGCUGUAAGGAGCAUAUUCCAGCUUGCUUCAACUUCGGAGGCUACGGUUAGCACAUAUGAAGUUUCCAUGUGGCUUUCACUUAGGAAUGAC
Long non-coding RNA from Pistacia vera, 336 nucleotides. RefSeq lists it as uncharacterized. The record is from RefSeq and is a predicted model, not a curated record. The transcript is spliced from 3 exons. Lineage: Eukaryota; Viridiplantae; Streptophyta; Magnoliopsida; Sapindales; Anacardiaceae.